GACGAACGCUGGCGGCGUGCUUAACACAUGCAAGUCGAACGGUAAGGCCCCUUCGGGGGCACACGAGUGGCGAACGGGUGAGUAAAACGUGAGCAGCCUGCCCUUGCCGCUGGGAUAACAGUUGGAAACAGCUGCUAUUACCGGAAACGACCUUCGAUGACAUCAUAUCGAGGUGGAAAGCGUUUUAGCGGUCAAGGAUGGGCUGGCGGCCCAUGAGCGUGGUGGUGAGGUAAGGGCUCACGAAGGCUGCGUCGGGUAGCCGGCAUGGGAGGGCGACCGGCGACACUGGGACUGAGAAACGGCGCAGACUCCUACGGGAGGCAGCAGUGGGGAAUAUUACACAAUGGGCGCAAGCCUGAUGCAGCGACGCCGCGUGCGGGAUGACGGCCUUCGGGUUGUAAACCGCUUUCAGUUCCGACGAUGCGCAAGUGACGGUAGGAACAGAAGAAGGACCGGCCAACUACGUGCCAGCCGCCGCGGUAA
This 483-nucleotide ribosomal RNA is filed under the name uncultured bacterium. RNAcentral's name for it is "partial 16S ribosomal RNA". It matches the Rfam family "Bacterial small subunit ribosomal RNA", at positions 28 to 523 of the family's 1533-position model. The record is from RNAcentral.